UACGAGGGGGGCAAGCGUUGUUCGGAUUUAUUGGGCGUAAAGGGUGCGCAGGCGGUUUGGCAAGUCUUGUGUGAAAUCUUUGGGCUCAACCCAAAGUCUGCAUAAGAAACUGCCGGGCUUGAGUAUGGGAGAGGUGCGUGGAAUUCCUGGUGUAGCGGUGAAAUGCGUAGAUAUCAGGAGGAACACCUGUGGCGAAAGCGGCGCACUGGACCACAACUGACGCUGAGGCGCGAAAGCUAGGGGAGCAAACAGG
Molecule: ribosomal RNA, 253 nt
Filed under: uncultured bacterium
Lineage: Bacteria
Description: partial 16S ribosomal RNA
Rfam family: Bacterial small subunit ribosomal RNA
Source: RNAcentral